RNAcentral lists this small RNA (96 nucleotides) under Escherichia coli. Its description in RNAcentral is "partial RtT sRNA". It matches the Rfam family "RtT RNA", at positions 1 to 92 of the family's 130-position model. Rfam says of the family: This family represents a bacterial cis-regulatory element known as RtT RNA. The record is from RNAcentral. Lineage: Bacteria; Pseudomonadati; Pseudomonadota; Gammaproteobacteria; Enterobacterales; Enterobacteriaceae.
UGCAUCUGCAGCCCAUGAGGAUGAGAACCUCCGGGGGCAGGGAGGUUCGACUCGAGCGAAGCGAGAGAACGUUGCGCCAGCAACGGCCCGCAGGGC